AACGCACAUUGCGCCCUUUGGUAUUCCGAAGGGCAUGCCUGUUCGAGCGUCAUUAUCACCCCUCAGACCGACCUGGCGAAAGCCGGUCGUCUGGCGUUGGACGCCGAGCCGGACCGUCGUGUCCUCGCUCCGUCCCAAAGAUAAUGACGGCGGCCUCGUUGGAUCCCCGGUACACUGAGUUCUCACGAACACGUAUCGGACGGCUCUCGAGACGCCGGUCGGCCUCCCUCUGGGAGAACUUUUACAAGGUUGACCUCGGAUCAGGUAGGGAUACCCGCUGAACUUAA
RNAcentral lists this unclassified non-coding RNA (287 nucleotides) under uncultured fungus. Its description in RNAcentral is "partial contains 5.8S ribosomal RNA, internal transcribed spacer 2, and large subunit ribosomal RNA". The stretch from base 1 to 52 matches the Rfam family "5.8S ribosomal RNA", at positions 103 to 154 of the family's 154-position model. The record is from RNAcentral. Lineage: Eukaryota; Fungi.